CCUACGGGAGGCAGCAGUGAGGAAUAUUGGUCAAUGGACGAGAGGCUGAACCAGCCAAGUAGCGUGAAGGAUGACUGCCCUAUGGGUUGUAAACUUCUUUUAUAAAGGAAUAAAACGAGGCACGUGUGCCUUUUUGCAUGUACUUUAUGAAUAAGGAUCGGCUAACUCCGUGCCAGCAGCCGCGGUAAUACGGAGGAUCCGAGCGUUAUCCGGAUUUAUUGGGUUUAAAGGGAGCGUAGAUGGGUUGUUAAGUCAGUUGUGAAAGUUGACGGAUCAACCGUAAAAUUGCAAUUGAUGCUGGCAGUCUUGAGUACAGUUGAGGUAGGCGGAAUUCGUGGUGUAGCGGUGAAAUGCUUAGAUAUCACGAAGAACCCCGAUUGCGAAGGCAGCUUACUAAACUGUGACUGACAUUGAUGCUCGAAAGUGUGGGUAUCAAACAGGAUUAGAUACCCCGGUAGUC
This 460-nucleotide ribosomal RNA is filed under the name uncultured bacterium. Its description in RNAcentral is "partial 16S ribosomal RNA". It matches the Rfam family "Bacterial small subunit ribosomal RNA", at positions 338 to 795 of the family's 1533-position model. The record is from RNAcentral.